UACAGAGGUGGCAAGCGUUGUCCGGAAUUAUUGGGCGUAAAGAGCGCGUAGGCGGUCUGAUAAGUCGGUUGUGAAAGUCGGGGGCUCAACCCUCGGAUGCCGAUCGAUACUGUCAGGCUAGAGUCCGGAAGAGGCGAGUGGAAUUCCUGGUGUAGCGGUGAAAUGCGCAGAUAUCAGGAGGAACACCAAUGGCGAAGGCAGCUCGCUGGGACGGUACUGACGCUGAGGCGCGAAAGCGUGGGGAGCAAACAGG
RNAcentral lists this ribosomal RNA (253 nucleotides) under uncultured bacterium. RNAcentral describes it as "partial 16S ribosomal RNA". It matches the Rfam family "Bacterial small subunit ribosomal RNA", at positions 524 to 776 of the family's 1533-position model. The record is from RNAcentral.